RNAcentral lists this ribosomal RNA (428 nucleotides) under Micromerys baiteta. Its description in RNAcentral is "partial 16S ribosomal RNA". It matches the Rfam family "Bacterial large subunit ribosomal RNA", at positions 1829 to 2597 of the family's 2925-position model. Lineage: Eukaryota; Metazoa; Arthropoda; Arachnida; Araneae; Pholcidae. The record is from RNAcentral.
UUCCAUAAGAAAUAAUCUAUGGUACAACCUGCUCAAUGUGAAUAUAUAAAUAGCCGCAGUUUACUGUGCUAAGGUAGCAUAAUCACUUGCUUCUUAAUUAGAAGAUAGUAUGAAAGGUAAAACAUUUAGAUUCAGUCUCUUCAAUAAUAAUCGAACUUUAAAUAAUAGUUAAAAUUCUAUUAAUAUUAGGUGGGACGACAAGACCCUGAUAAACUUAUUAUUUAAUUGGGGAAAUAUAAUAAUAAUUAUUUAUUAAAAUCCUUAACAAAACUUAAACAUUAAACAUAGAAAAGUUACUACAGGGAUAACAGCGCAAUUUCUUUUAAGAGACCUAAUCAAAAAAGAAGAUUACGACCUCGAUGUUGAAUUAAUUAACCUAAUUAAGAGCAACAUCUUAUUAAGGUGGUCUGUUCGACCAUAAAAUAACU